CACCAAUCCCAAAGGCCCCCAGAAGGGCCCCUCGAUUUCCAAACUUUUACCAAUUUAGAGGAAAGGGAACGAAUCCAGACAGCUGCUCGUGACCACAGAGACCAGAUUCAUAUUACUGAUCCCACAAUACCUAUUGGGGCAAAGGCCGUACCGGCAGCUGACUCUAAUUGGAAUUACCAGCAACAGGGAACUGGCCAUAGGCGAUAGGAUCAGAUGAUCCAAUGUUUGCUGGCAGGCAUGCGAGCAGCCUCAAGGGCUAGGAGCAAAGUGCACUUACAUAGUCAUCUACGUUUUGGGAGCCGGGGAAACACUCUUGUCUUUCCUGCCUC
Molecule: long non-coding RNA, 329 nt
Organism: Suricata suricatta (meerkat)
Lineage: Eukaryota; Metazoa; Chordata; Mammalia; Carnivora; Herpestidae
Exons: 3
Source: RefSeq, a predicted model, not a curated record